Rattus norvegicus (Norway rat) is the source of this 2025-nucleotide long non-coding RNA. The record is from Ensembl. Lineage: Eukaryota; Metazoa; Chordata; Mammalia; Rodentia; Muridae.
GCAGGUGUAAAGUCCCAUGCUCACGUGGUGCUGGCCAGCAAACCCAGAUCUCCCUGCAUGCUAGAGAAACACUUCACCACAUCAUCUACAGACGCAGCCAAAUUUCCUUUCAAGGACAUGCCCAUCCUCUGAGAGUCCAACCCUAUGUUGAUUUUCCUCGUGACAGCGGGAUAUUUCAGCUCGGUGAUUACUCAGGUCACCCAGAGAGCUUAUUUGAUCCAAAGCUGCUGUAUCAGUCACCAGGCCUGAGUCAGAGCUUGGACAGGGCACAGCUGUAGCUCCCUGAACGGCAAAUACCUUGCCAUAGCGGUUGCUGGGGAAAUAUGUCGGAAACCUGUCUUCAGAGCUUGCUGGGAAUCUGCUGGACUUGUGGUUCCUGAAACUCCGGGCCAACAGCAAGUUCCACUGCCUUAACUUCUGAACACCGGUAAAAUACUUCCACAACUCCUGGGACGUUGUUUGGAAUUCAGAAUGACUCAUUUACACACUGACUCUCUACAAGAAAUGCAUUCAAGAACAUAUGAUGUCGCUCACGGAUCAGAGCCAUCUGACGGCAGGAUUUGGAGGACACCUCUGAAAGGGCCCCAGGUACUGCGUCUCCAAAGAAGAGAGUAGAGACAUAGUUUCAGCAGAAACAGAAGGUUGAUACACUUUCAAGGCAGAGGAAGUGGACCAGAACCAAUGGAGACCUAGAGUCAUUCAGCCCUGCCGUGGGGAGAAUGAAUGGGGUCUUUCAUGUCUAAGGCACGGGCUUCGGGGCUCAUGCUCAUAGCACAAGAUGUUCCUUGCGUGCUUUCUACUGUCACGUGUAAUUCUAGAUACAGUUUCCAUGUGGUUACAUCUCAUUUGCACGGUGAGUCGUCACCCAGGGCAGUGAAGAGGUCUGGCGGUAUAAGGUAUAAUGAGCCAAAGACGCCUUUCAGACACUGGAACCCUCUGCACCUGCAGCACUGGCUGGCGCUGGCUGGCCGUGCAGGGGGCUUAGCCUUUCUCUUGACCAAGUGUUUUAUAUGCGAAUUUGUUAUAAGGCUUUCUAUAUGUCUCUACCCCUAGUCUCCCUCCUACACUCUAGCACAUUCGUGAUUCCUGAAAUGAAAGGGUCACUCUUCUCAUGAAUGUGCAUGACGGUCUGUUGGGUUUGAGGCAAGAACUGAGGUUUCUGAGGACAGCAUGGAGGUGACUCAGCCUGGUCCUGAGACCUUUUCUCUGUGAAACAGCAGGUAGUGGGUAGUCCCGAUCAGUCUGUAAUAGGAUAAGCUGUCACUGUCAGUACAAUAAAAAAAGACAGACAGAUGGACAGACAGACUGGCAGACUGAGGGACAGACAGGUUCGGGAACCCAUUUAGAGUAUCCCAAAUUCUAUGUUCCAGUGAGGGAGAUUCCAUGAAGUUUUUAUGGAAACAGAACACACACCACAGAUGAGGACACUUUUCACACGUGCUGGUAGAAACGUUUGGAGAUGGUUAGAGUGAAGCGGGGAAUGGCAGAUGUAGGCCUCACAUGCUGUCUAAUGACGCCCUUCACUUUGGAUUUGGUGGAAGCUAGGGUCUACUAAGCUAAACAGGUUUCAGAAACCUGUGCCUAGAGGUGCACACCUUUAAACCCAGCACUUAGGGUGCAGAGGCAGGAGGAUCUCUGUGAAUUCCAGGCCAGCUUCACCUAUAUACAGAAUUCUAGGGCAGCCAGAGCUACAAGGGGAGACCCUGCCUUAAAAAGAGGGGUGGAGGAAGGGAAAGACAGACCGCAGACAGACAGACGACAGAUGGAGAAGGGAUUUACCUGAGUCACAGGGAUGUUAGAUCAGAUAGACACAGAGGUGGGAGAGGAAUCGCUAAUAAGGCUAAACCCAGUCCAAGGUAAACUGUAAUGUGCCUCUGACCCUGCAACCUUUCAACCUCUCCACAGUCACUGAAAUUCCAAGCCUUUAACCAGCCUUGUAGGUUGAGCGGGAGGCAUGGCUUUCCUCCGGGAACUUCCAUUCACUUCCCUGAACGGGUUGAAGGAGAGGAGAGGAUCACAGUUGAG